RNAcentral lists this non-coding RNA (29 nucleotides) under Rattus norvegicus (Norway rat). Lineage: Eukaryota; Metazoa; Chordata; Mammalia; Rodentia; Muridae. The record is from RNAcentral.
UGAGUCUUUCUCUUCCUUGCCUCUGCUUC